Molecule: ribosomal RNA, 497 nt
Filed under: uncultured bacterium
Lineage: Bacteria
Description: partial 16S ribosomal RNA
Rfam family: Bacterial small subunit ribosomal RNA
Source: RNAcentral
GAUGAACGCUGGCGGCGUGCCUAAUACAUGCAAGUCGAGCGAACAGAUGAGGAGCUUGCUCCUCUGACGUUAGCGGCGGACGGGUGAGUAACACGUGGAUAACCUACCUAUAAGACUGGGAUAACUUCGGGAAACCGGAGCUAAUACCGGAUAAUAUAUUGAACCGCAUGGUUCAAUAGUGAAAGACGGUUUUGCUGUCACUUAUAGAUGGAUCCGCGCCGCAUUAGCUAGUUGGUAAGGUAACGGCUUACCAAGGCAACGAUGCGUAGCCGACCUGAGAGGGUGAUCGGCCACACUGGAACUGAGCCACGGUCCAGACUCCUACGGGAGGCAGCAGUAGGGAAUCUUCCGCAAUGGGCGAAAGCCUGACGGAGCAACGCCGCGUGAGUGAUGAAGGUCUUCGGAUCGUAAAGCUCUGUUAUUAGGGAAGAACAAAUGUGUAAGUAACUAUGCACGUCUUGACGGUACCUAAUCAGAAAGCCACGGCUAACUACGUG